UGGCACUUCCUUGCAUUCUUUCUUCCUCUUGCAAUUGUUCAUUGUGGUGCAAUAGUCCUUUAGGAUUCAUUAUUGAUGCCUCUCUAAUUUUGCAAUGAUUCAACUUGUUUGAUUUUGGCCUAGCUCGCCAUAUAAAAUAGUUUUGGUCCCGAGUUUGAAUAUUUCAAUUAGUCAAAUUUAAAUGAGAAUAAAUCGAUUAUUGGGUAUGAGUCCUGAUGCGUGUCGUAGCACAUCAAAAUUAAUCCUACUCACUACUAUGUAGAUAGAGUGAGUCAGGAUCGUAUC
This 285-nucleotide long non-coding RNA is filed under the name Elaeis guineensis (African oil palm). RNAcentral describes it as "long non-coding RNA (EGUI_LNC006926)". The record is from RNAcentral. Lineage: Eukaryota; Viridiplantae; Streptophyta; Magnoliopsida; Arecales; Arecaceae.